AGCCCCCCUCUAGCCCACUCCCACAACACUUACCCCCCAAUAAAAACCAAAUGCCACCGCACAAACCAAAACAUUCUCCACACGACCCAGUAUAGGCGAUAGAAAAGUCAAUCCGGCGCUAUAGAGACACGUACCGUAAGGGAAAGAUGAAAUAACAAUGAAAACCCAAAGCAAUAAACAGCAAAGCUAAACCCUUGUACCUUUUGCAUCAUGAUCUAGCAAGAACCUCCAAGCAAAGCGAACUAAAGUUUGCCAUCCCGAAACCCAAGCGAGCUACUUACAAGCAGCUACCCCCCCUGAGCGAACCCGUCUCUGUUGCAAAAGAGUGGGACGACUUGUUAGUAGAGGUGAAAAGCCAACCGAGCUGGGCGAUAGCUGGUUGCCCGUAUAAACGAAUCUCAGUUCCCCCUUGACUGCCUCACGGAUACUAUCACCCAACCUCCAACGUAAUGCAAGCCAAGAGUUAUUUAAAGGGGGUACAGCCCCUUUAAACAAGGAUACAACCCCCACCAGCGGAUAACCACCCCCUUUCCCCCCUGUCGGCCUUCAAGCAGCCACCAACAAAGAGUGCGUCAAAGCUCCCCACCCAACAAAAAUAUAAAAACACAAUAGAUUCCCUCCCCACCAACGGGCUAACCUGCAUCAGCAGGAGAACCAAUGCCAGAAUAAGUAACCAGGACCAAAUCCUCUCAAGCGCAAACUUACAUCCAACCAUCAUUAACAGACCCCAGAAUCCCCAAACCCAACAAGACAUAACAUUCACCCAAACCUGCUAGUCCAACCCAGGAGCGCCCAUAGAAAGAUUAAAAUCUGUAGAAGGAACUAGGCAAACCAAGGACCCGACUGUUUACCAAAAACAUAGCCUUCAGCCCACCAAGUAUUGAAGGUGAUGCCUGCCCAGUGACACGUUUCAACGGCCGCGGUAUCCUAACCGUGCAAAGGUAGCGCAAUCAAUUGUCUCAUAAAUCGAGACCUGUAUGAAUGGCUAAACGAGGCCCUAACUGUCUCCUACAGACAAUCAGUGAAAUUGAUCCCCCUGUGCAAAAGCAAGGAUACACACAUAAGACGAGAAGACCCUGUGGAACUUAAAAAUCAGAGGCCAUACCACAAUAAUACCAAACCCCUGCUAGGAACACCCCCCCCCACCACAAACCCUGGCCCACAUUUUUUGGUUGGGGCGACCUUGGAGAAAAACAAAUCCUCCAAAAACAAGACCACACCUCCUGACCAAGAGAGACAUCUCAACGUACUAAUAGCAACCAGACCCAGUACAUCUGACCAAUGAACCAAGCUACCCCAGGGAUAACAGCGCAAUCUCCUCCAAGAGCCCAUAUCGACAAGGAGGUUUACGACCUCGAUGUUGGAUCAGGACAUCCUAAUGGUGCAGCCGCUAUUAAGGGUUCGUUUGUUCAACGAUUAACAGUCCUACGUGAUCUGAGUUCAGACCGGAGCAAUCCAGGUCGGUUUCUAUCUAUGCCAUAAUCUUCCCCAGUACGAAAGGACCGGUAAGAUGGGGCCCAUACUUACACAAGCACGCCCCCCCUUCAAGCAGAGCAUACAACUAAACUGCCAAGAGGACCACCACCCUCCCCCAAAAGAAGGGUCG
This 1606-nucleotide ribosomal RNA is filed under the name Bucco capensis (collared puffbird). RNAcentral describes it as "16S ribosomal RNA". It matches the Rfam family "Bacterial large subunit ribosomal RNA". Lineage: Eukaryota; Metazoa; Chordata; Aves; Piciformes; Bucconidae. The record is from RNAcentral.